UAGGGAAUCUUCCACAAUGGACGAAAGUCUGAUGGAGCAACGCCGCGUGAGUGAAGAAGGGUUUCGGCUCGUAAAACACUGUUGUAAGAGAAGAAUGACAUUGAGAGUAACUGUUCAAUGUGUGACGGUAUCUUACCAGAAAGGAACGGCUAAAUACGUGCCUG
Molecule: ribosomal RNA, 164 nt
Filed under: uncultured bacterium
Lineage: Bacteria
Description: partial 16S rRNA
Rfam family: Bacterial small subunit ribosomal RNA
Source: RNAcentral